GAUGAACGCUGGCGGCGUGCCUAAUACAUGCAAGUCGAGCGAAUGGAUUAAGAGCUUGCUCUUAUGAAGUUAGCGGCGGACGGGUGAGUAACACGUGGGUAACCUGCCCAUAAGACUGGGAUAACUCCGGGAAACCGGGGCUAAUACCGGAUAACAUUUUGAACCGCAUGGUUCGAAAUUGAAAGGCGGCUUCGGCUGUCACUUAUGGAUGGACCCGCGUCGCAUUAGCUAGUUGGUGAGGUAACGGCUCACCAAGGCAACGAUGCGUAGCCGACCUGAGAGGGUGAUCGGCCACACGGGGACUGAGACACGGCCCAGACUCCUACGGGAGGCAGCAGUAGGGAAUCUUCCGCAAUGGACGAAAGUCUGACGGAGCAACGCCGCGUGAGUGAGGAAGGCUUUCGGGUCGUAAAACUCUGUUGUUAGGGAAGAACAAGUGCUGGUUGAAUAAGCUGGCACCUUGACGGUACCUAACCAGAAAGCCACGGCUAACUACGUGCCAGCCGCCGCGGUAA
Molecule: ribosomal RNA, 515 nt
Filed under: uncultured bacterium
Lineage: Bacteria
Description: partial 16S ribosomal RNA
Rfam family: Bacterial small subunit ribosomal RNA
Source: RNAcentral